AUAGAGGCCUACCAUGGUUUUAACGGGUAACGGGGAAUUAGGGUUCGAUUCCGGAGAGGGAGCCUGAGAAACGGCUACCACAUCCAAGGAAGGCAGCAGGCGCGCAAAUUACCCAAUCCCGACACGGGGAGGUAGUGACAAUAAAUAACAAUACGGGGCUCAUUUGGGUCUCGUAAUUGGAAUGAGUACAAUUUAAAUCUCUUAACGAGGAACAAUUGGAGGGCAAGUCUGGUGCCAGCAGCCGCGGUAAUUCCAGCUCCAAUAGCGUAUAUUAAAGUUGUUGCAGUUAAAAAGCUCGUAGUUGAACUUCGGGGUUUACCCAUUGGUCAGGCUUAAUUGUCUGUACUGGUGAGAUAAAUCUCUACCUUCUGAGGAACUUUCAUGUCAUUAAUUUGGUGUGAUUGGAAAUCAGGACUGUUACUUUGAAAAAAUUAGAGUGUUUAAAGCAGGCUAACGUCUGAAUACAUUAGCGUGGAAUAAUGAAAUAGGACGGAUUGAUUCUAUUUCGUUGGUUUCUAGGAUCACCGUAAUGAUUAAUAGGGAUAGUUGGGGGCAUUAGUAUUCAAUUGUCAGAGGUGAAAUUCUUGGAUUUAUUGAAGACUAACUACUGCGAAAGCAUUUGCCAAGGAUGUCUUCAUUAAUCAAGAACGAAAGUUAGGGGAUCGAAGACGAUCAGAUACCGUCGUAGUCUUAACCAUAAACUAUGCCGACUAG
Molecule: ribosomal RNA, 714 nt
Filed under: uncultured fungus
Lineage: Eukaryota; Fungi
Description: SSU rRNA
Rfam family: Eukaryotic small subunit ribosomal RNA
Source: RNAcentral